Molecule: long non-coding RNA, 1211 nt
Organism: Larimichthys crocea (large yellow croaker)
Lineage: Eukaryota; Metazoa; Chordata; Actinopteri; Sciaenidae
Exons: 2
Source: RefSeq, a predicted model, not a curated record
AUUUUCUGGAGAGUCCACACUGCACACUGAAGACUCUGAGAUUGAGGAGCUGCAGUUUGUCAGAGAUCAGCUGUGCUUUUCUGGCCUCAGCUCUGAAGUCCAACCCCUCCCAUCUGACAGAGCUGGACCUGGACUACAACAACCUACAGGUUUCAGGAGUGAAGCUGCUGUCUGAUCUUGUGGAGAGUCCACACUGCAGACUGAAGACUCUGAGGUAAGUACAGGGUUGGAGUCAGUCCAUGUUGGCUUCAGCAGUAUUGUACUAAACACGGUUAGUAUCAAAGCAUAGAUCCAGUCUUUCCUGUAAACAGAGACUCUGUUGGACCAUCAAAUCUGAUCUCGUGUUUGUUCUCUCAUUUCAACACUAAAGAACUGAUCAGGUCAUCUUUGUCACAGCUCUCAGAUCAGUCUGACUGAAGCCUGCAAAGAACCAUCAUUACAUUUAGUGACCAUGUGGUCUUUGUACAGAGCAGAACCUCUGCUCCAGUAAGUCCAGUGAUCAAAGCUGAAAGUUAAAGUGAGCAGUGAAUGUCUGUCAGUUUCUGCGGUAAUGGUGUGUUCAGGGACUCUCAGUACUUUACUUCACCUGUGUACUUAAGUGAAAUCUGUCAAGUCAACAGACUUGAUGACCAAAGUCUCUGCAGGUCUGUGAAGCUUCACUCCAACACGUUAACAUGAGAGCUGAGAGGACACUAGCUACACUACCGUACACAGCUGCAGGUCUGAACAGGACUGACGUCCCUCCUGGUGUAUCAUCAGUGGAUCUUCACUGCUCUGCUGCUGCUCUGUCCUUCUACACAGUCUCUGCAGAUACACUGACUCCAUUCUUUCUGCUCCACAUUCAACCACCUCCUCCACCUUGACUUGACCUGGACCUGAGUCUGGAUUUCUUUCUUUCUUUCUUUGAUUAUUUCAGUCUGUGCUUCUCUCUGUAUUUCUUUGUGUUGUACACUGUUAAAUAAUGGAGAACUGUCAUUCAUUUUCGCAUUAUGACAACAUUAUUAUUUGGUCCAAUGCAUCUCUGUCUUCUCUUUUUAUGCUGAUCCUAUGCAAUGUAAUUUCGCUCAAAUGUAUACUGUGAAUGUACAGCUGAAUGGCAAUAAAGUCUGUCUAAGUCUAAUGUCUUAUUGCAUAUGUUCUCUGAACACUAAAUGUAACCAACUAAACUAAUAAAUGAGAUCUGACCCAAAUAAAAUGAGCCCCCACCUUGA